GCAUAUGUAGUCAUACGCUCGUCUCAAAGAUUAAGCCAUGCAUGUGUAAGUGUAAAUUGUUAAGUUUGGAACUGCGAAUGGCUCAUUAUAUCAGUUAUAGUUUAUUUGGUGAAGUGUACUACUUGGAUAACCGUAGUAAUUCUAGGGCUAAUACAUGAGAAAGUCCUCUGGUGAGGUGUGUUUAUUAGAAUGAAAACCAUAUGCUUCGGCAUGAUAGUGAGUAAUAGUAACCUAUCGUAUCGCAUGCUUAAUGUAGCGAUGAGUCUUCAAG
RNAcentral lists this ribosomal RNA (271 nucleotides) under uncultured Blastocystis sp. RNAcentral describes it as "partial small subunit ribosomal RNA". It matches the Rfam family "Eukaryotic small subunit ribosomal RNA", at positions 21 to 302 of the family's 1831-position model. The record is from RNAcentral. Lineage: Eukaryota; Bigyra; Opalinata; Blastocystidae.